AGGACGAACGCUGGCGGCGUGCUUAACACAUGCAAGUCGAGCGAUGAAACACCUUCGGGUGUGAAUUAGCGGCGAACGGGUGAGGAACACGUGAGAAAUCUGCCUUCAACACUGGGAUAACUCCGGGAAACCGGGGCUAAUACCGGAUAUGAAAUCUGCGGGCAUCCGCGGAUUUGGAAAGUUUUUCGGUUGAAGAUGAUCUCGCGGCCUAUCAGCUUGUUGGUGAGGUAAUGGCUCACCAAGGCGACGACGGGUAGCCGGCCUGAGAGGGCGACCGGCCACACUGGGACUGAGACACGGCCCAGACUCCUACGGGAGGCAGCAGUGGGGAAUAUUGGGCAAUGGAGGAAACUCUGACCCAGCGACGCCGCGUGCGGGAUGAAGGCCUUCGGGUUGUAAACCGCUUUCAGCAGGGAAGAAGCGAAAGUGACGGUACCUGCAGAAGAAGCACCGGCUAACUAUGUGCCAGCAGCCGCGGUAAUACAUAGGGUGCAAGCGUUGUCCGGAAUUAUUGGGCGUAAAGAGCUCGUAGGUGGUUCGUCACGUCGGAUGUGAAACUCUGGGGCUUAACCCCAGACCUGCAUUCGAUACGGGCGAGCUUGAGUAUGGUAGGGGAGUCUGGAAUUCCUGGUGUAGCGGUGGAAUGCGCAGAUAUCANGAGGAACACCAAUGGCGAAGCAGGACUCUGGGCCAUUACUGACACUGAGGAGCGAAAGCGUGGGGAGCGAACAGGAUUAGAUACCCUGGUAGUCCACGCCGUA
This 761-nucleotide ribosomal RNA is filed under the name uncultured bacterium. RNAcentral's name for it is "bacterial SSU rRNA". It matches the Rfam family "Bacterial small subunit ribosomal RNA", at positions 26 to 804 of the family's 1533-position model. The record is from RNAcentral.